RNAcentral lists this long non-coding RNA (8287 nucleotides) under Malus domestica (apple). RNAcentral's name for it is "long non-coding RNA (MDOM_LNC015644)". Lineage: Eukaryota; Viridiplantae; Streptophyta; Magnoliopsida; Rosales; Rosaceae. The record is from RNAcentral.
AUUAGGGUUUUGGUUAUUUAGGUCCACUUAAAUGAAGUGACUAUAUAAUAUGACUUUAUAGCCUAAAAUUCAUUAAGGGUUUUUUUGGAGAAAAUUGGUGAGAACAUGUCUCUCCAUUUUCUCUCUAAAGAGGCCGGCCACCUUGGAGGGUACAUCUAGCAAUCCUACUACUCCAAGGUCACUCAUUUUCUUCUCCAAUCUAACCUUGGUGAAGAGACUUAGAGGUUCUCAAUUUUGGGAACUUGGAGAACCAUAUUCUUCCAUCCAAAUCCAUGGAUCUAAGAUGCAAGGAAUGAAGGCCCUCUCUUUGGGUGAUUAGCCUUUGCUUAUGCAAAGAGGAAUCUACAAAGGUAUAUAAUUUCUCAACUCACUUUGUUUUUGAGUUGAUUCUUGGUUCACCAAUCUACUAGGCUUUGAAUUUCAUGGUUAAUGUUUUGUUUUUGAAGUGCAUGCAAGCAUGAUUCCGCCUUUAAUUGUUAAUUGCAUGCUAUAUGAUGUUGCUUCAAAUGAACAUGUUUUCACAAAAUAAUUCCUUCAAGUGGUAUCAGAGCCUAGGUCUAGUAGUUGGUGAAUCCUUUUGGGUUUUGUAGUUCAUAGUUUGUGAUUUAAAAGUUGUAAUAUGUUACAAGCUUUAUUCUUGCUUUCUUUGAAUGUAAAUUUUGUUAGAAAAUUUGCCAUCUCAAAUGUUGUAGAUGUAGUUCAUAUGAGCAUGAAUAUUGGAGCUAAAAUUUGGUGCCAUGCUUUUGGGAAAAUUCGGCCAAAUCCAAAGGGUGGAUUUUUGGGUUCUUGUUUGACUUGUUAAAAGUGUUUUCAAGUGACUUUUGGAACCCCUAUGUACCCUAGUUUGGUUAGAUGUUAUUUCCCUUAAGUUUGAAUGGUUUUGGAAUGUUUUUGGGUGAAAAAUGUUCAUGGAAAAAUUUUGGGUUUUUCAUGAAUGUUCUUCAUUGUUCUUGACAUUUUUGCCAAGAACAAAAAGGUUUGUGUUUUGAUUCAAAGUUUUGAUUUAUUUCAUAAAGUUUAUUUGUGAUAUGUUUUUAAAUGAUUUUAUCAAAUAUUUAAAGUGUUAGAUAUUUGAUUAAAUGGCAAUGGUGAAAUAUUAUCAUAAAACAUUAUUAUUUUUUAUGAAGGUGAUAGAAAUGGUGAUAAGAAUUUCUUAUCACUUACACACCACUUGCAUUGCUUUAUGUCAAAACUCACAAAUCAACACACACAUCACUCUUAUCCCUUCCAAAACCGGCCACCCCUCAAGUGGGGGGUACUUUUGGGGCUUUUAUAUGCAAUUACAUAAAGUUUUGAUACUUUUGUGUAUUUGCACUUUGGCCCAAAAAGUUUACGUUUUUACGUUUAGGUCCAAAAACGCUAAAGGACAAAUUGUUUUGCUCCUUUAAUGAAGUUUUUGCAUUGAUUAAAUUUUGGGUUCUAUUGUAAUUACAUGAAGUAGUGGACUUUUGUGUCUUUACAAAGUGACCCCAAAAGUUUUGCAAUAUAGCCCAAAAGUUGAGGUUAAUUGCUUGAUGGCCCAAAUUAGGUUGAGAACAAAAUUGUUUUGUCUCUUUAAAUGAGAAUUGGAUUUUCAUUUUGUUUAGCUCCAUUUAAAUCAAUUUUAUGGAUACAAAAACCAAAUGAAAAUGUUGCAUUCAAUUUAAUUAGUUAAAGUGUUAAUUAAUUAAAGGGUGAUUAUGAACCUAAGCCUAAUAUAAUUGAGCUAUGUGAAAGGCCGUUUCAAAUUUGUUUGAACCAUGGGAAUGUGUGUGUAGAUUAGAUUUUGGUUGUAAUUUGAUUUGAUCAAAUGUUGUAAAAGGGCUUAAGCUCUUCUUUACUUUAAAGUAAUUUGUUUUAUGCAAAUGUUGUAAUGAGCAUAAGCUCACCUUUACUUUGAAGUACUUCUUUCUUGCUUUAUUUGAUAUGCAUGAAAAUGAAGUAGUUGGGUCCAACGCCCCUAAGACAACACGCCUUAAUGUGAUUAAACGCGUAACUAAAAUCAAUCACCAUCCCUAGACCGAGAUUCAACACAAGGCUCGUGUUGAAUCUAAACAAAGGUUCAUAGUCAUCCUAAGGCCCUAAGGCAACUAUAUAGUCCAUCAAAUGAAUGCAAAGGUUAUGUUAGUAGUAUCAUAUACUCUUGCUUUAAAAAACCGUUUUAUAAGCAUAGUGGGAGUAUUAUAUACAACUAAAAACAAUCAAUGGACCAAUAGUUGUAAUAGGACCAAAAUUGUUUUAAUAGAGAUUAAAAUGUAAUAUGUUUAUAUGUGAUGAGACCUAAAACCCUCAACCAAACCAUUAUUAAGUUGAUAAGCGUGAGAGAUGCUUUGAACAUCUCUUCGUGGCCUUCCACCGUGGUAGGCUCCAAUCGUUUAUGACUUGUACACCGGCUUCACCCUAUCAUGGGGGAGUACAAAGUGCAUGCUUAUACUCUCAGGAGGAGUCCUAUAUACAUACUUGAUGAGGUGAGUGUAGGCAACGAGGAUGGCCGAAUAUCAUAUCAUUGUGAGGCUAUUCUUGAACCCCUUCAUGAACUAAGCAUGGUGGGAAUGACUUAACUAAGUGCAAUGGAACCAAUAUGGGAAUGACUUAACUAAGUGCAAUGGAACCAAUAUCAUAUCAUUGUGAGGUUACAUUCUCUAGAGGCCAAAUAAGAUGGGUACUUGCAUUAGUUGCAAAUGAGUAAGCGUACUCUCUCAUUAUUAUUAAUGCUAGCCAAUAUCAUAUCAUUGUGAGGUGGGCUUGGUAAUAGUGAGCCUCCCAUAACCCUACUAAGAGUUUCAUCCAAAACUCUCGAAUUCCAAUGAGGGAUAUGGAAUUUGCCAAAAAUAGUGGGUGGUGCUAUUUUGAUUUAAAGACCCGAAUCAAAUGGCUUAAAAUCAAUCAAUUUAUAUUCGUUAUGUAUUUGUUUACCAAUAUAUUUGCAAACGCUAUCCAACACUUGACAAAUAAAAACCGAAUGUUUUAGUUUCCGGACUUGGUACCACAAUCCCAAAGAUUGUCUUAAAUGGAUUGUAUAUGUACCUAAGUAGUCUCAUCCUCACAAUCUUCCUAUUGAUAAUGUAUCAUUGGAAGAACAUGUUAGAUAAGUCUAUCAUGAAGAGGACAACACAAACAACCAAUGCUUAAUCCUUUGUUAAAUGAACAAAGGAACUUACGAAGAUUAGCAUAAUGACAAGGACACUUUUAGUGUUAUUAGUUCUUCACUUACAAAUCGUUGUAUGAAGAAAUAAGAGUUGCUUUGAACAACCCUUAGUCAAUGCAAACACUUAGUGCUUGUUUCUUUGUUAAAUGAACAAAGAACUUGAGAAGAAAGCACAAAGGCAUGGACACUUUAUGUGCCAUGAUUCUUCACUUACAAAUUGUUGUAUGAAGAAAUGAGAGUUGCCUUGUAACAACUCUUGAAAGUUUGUAAUUAUGUUUAGAACAUAAUGGUUGGUUGACAAAAAUAGUCCAUUAACAUGGACUUAUGAUGAUUUUGAAUCAUUGAGUGUUGAAGUGAUAAACCACUUAACGAGACGGAAACUAGGCAAGGACUUCACCUUUGUGUCCCUAUCCUAAUGGUUCACUAAGUUUAUUGUAAACUAUGUAGUGAACAAUAAACCACAUGCUCUCCAAAAUUGUUUGAUGUGUAUAACACAAUUGAAAUAAGUUUCAAGAGAGAUAGUGGGAGUUUAGGGACCAUGACUAUUGUAGUCAAAGGAGAAAGUCAAAAAAGAGAAAAGAUAAAUAACUCCAAGGGAACAAACUUUCUUUAUGAAAGGAUGGACAUUGGAAGGGGUAUUUGCAAGAAAUGUCUUGCAAGUGUCAAGAACACACCUUUCGAAGGUGUUGUAAAUUGUUCUUGAAUAGUUCAAAACAGUUGGUUCUUCUACUUGAAUGCUUGAUUCCGUAUUAGUAACUAUGUUUUACAAUCGUUGUAAAAGUGUGGCUAAUAAGAAGUAGAAGAUUAAUGAGAGAAGAGAAAGUACUUCACAUUCGAAACGUGAAUCAAAUAUAGAUCUCUGCGAAAGCAGAUGGUACUUACUUCCUCAUAUGAACUACCAAAGAAAUUGGAAAAACCAAAGAUUGUCUUUACAUUCCAAUUUUAAGGAACUUAAAUUCCGUCACUAUAGUAGAAAUGGAUGAAUGUUUUGUUUGACAAAACAUUGUUCUUUAUUAAUCAAUGAUUGGAUUAUGGUAAUCUAAUUGAUUGUCUCUAUAGUAGAGAUGAUAUAUGGUAGUGUUAACUGUUUAGAAUAUAAUGAUGCUUAAAACCCAAAAGGUUGCAAGGUAGUGACUAAUCCCAACUAAAGUUGUGAUACCCUCUAAAACAUAAAUUACGAGUUGGUCAUAGAUGGAUGCUUUGGAUCGUUAGAUCCGGAUCCAAUACCUUCUUGUUAAAAUUGUAUAGAGGCGAAAUGUUCGAAUCUUUAUUCUUUUGGAAAGAAGAAAGAAUCACAAAGUUGUUGAGGUUAAUUCACUUAGAUGUUAGUGGCACUUGUCCACAAACAUAAUACUACUCAUGUUGUAUGACAUUCACCGAAGAUCACUCUCGGUUGGACUAUAGUUUAUUUUGAAUAAACACAAGUCCGAAUACUUUGCAAAAUGUUUCAAAGAAUUCAAGAAAUGUAAGUUGAUGAGUAAGACGUCUAAAGUAUUUACCUCCUUAGAUUUGAUCCAAGAUAAGGUAACACUUUAGAAUAGUUUCCUUGAAAGAUAUCAAGGAAAAUAGCAUCAUAAGAUAAUGAAUUUCUCCUUUAGGAGAAGAACGAACUCGAAUAAGAUUUAGUUCGUUAGAUGUUAUCUAUUACCCAUAUAUAGGAUAUAUAUACUUCUAAAACAAUAUGAUUGUCAAUUAGAAGAUCUUCCAAAAUUUUCAUGACUCCAUAAGAUGUAGUUGGAAAGAAAGACAAAUCUUAAGCAUGUUAAGAUUUGGGGUUGUGUGUGCUAAUAAGCAAUAUUUGUUUGAUAACAAUCUUGUGGGAUAUCCUUAAAUUAACUUUUGGAUAUCGCUUCUAUAAACCAACUAACAAAUGUUGUUUUGUUGGGUAGUUCAUUGUAAUCCUACAAUGUGAUUUGCCUAAGAGCAAAUGAACGAGAGAUAGAACUCAAAGAAUGGGUUCUUUGAGAGACAAGAAAGUAAUCAACAAAUAUAACAACCUAGUUCCUAUACCACAAGCUCCAAGGUAGUCGAGAAGGAUUUAUAAACCGUCUCAGUUGAAUGGUUUUGAACUUUAUGACUAUGUCAUAGAGUUGCACCUCUUAAUUCGAAAGAAAUAAGAAUGAAAAUCCUUAUGACUACAUUGAGUGCAUAUAUGCGAUAUAUACUCAAGGAAAUGGUAAAGUACCAUUUGACCCGAAAUAAUGAAACCUUCAUAAGCUAAUUGGUAGCUUAAGGUGACUACAAUCAAAGAGAAUGGUUGACUUUGAAGGAAACCAUUUUUGACGUAGUCUUAGUUUCAAUUAAUUCGAAGAUUGCUAGCUACAACUAAAUGGUGAUUCAAUGUUUGGACAUAAUAUGGGUUUUCGAAACCAUUAUUAAGAUAGUCUUGAUAAUAUAUGUCUAAAACUAUGAAUCACAAGACAUGUAAGUUGUAGAGAUCCAUCCAUCAUGGAUCUUAGCAAGCUAGUGGGAGCUAUAAGCAUCUUAUGAGAAAAGGAUCAAAUCGUUUGAUUUCUCAUAAAGAUGUAAAUGAAUCUUUUGUUUACUAGGUUUACAAAAGAUUAGUGGGAGUUAAUCAUGUUCCUAAAAAUUUAAAUAUAUAUAUAUGAUAUAUUAAUUUUGGAUGGAAAUGAAAAGAAUACUUCUUCGUUAAAGUUAUGACUUUAAACAUUAUAUAUGAAGAUAGAAUGUAUAUGGGAGACAUAGUCUAUAUACAUGGGAUGGAAAUCUAUAAUGAUAUAUUUCAUGAUAUAAUUGGAUUAUAUCAAUCCCUAAUAAUAGACAAAAGAUGCUAGGAAGUUUCUCAUAUGAUGAUAAACUUCAAUUAGAAGGACGAACUCUAGUGAGACUAGCAAGUUGCCUCUUCUCAAAGGGAACGUACCCUUUGACUCCCAAAGAAAUAAUGCGUAAAUAGAAUCCUUUAUGCAUACGCAGAAAGGUGAUUUAUGUAUUUCAUAUUGUAUGAAAAACAUUGAUAUGAGUUGUACCUAGAACGGUACAAGACGAUAUCAGUGCAAGCCCAGGAUCAGAACCAUGGCAACUGUCAAGUGAGUCCUUAAGUAUUUAAGAAAUACUAAAGGAUAAAUUCCUCAAAGAUCGAGGAAGAAUCAGAGUAGAGUAACGUAAUGGAAGCGUAAAUGUAUUAGAUUAUGAAUCUAAUCCAUCAUUGGAUGUUUCUUCAUUAUGAAUGAAGAGAUAAACAGAUAUCUCUUUAUUAUGACUAAAGAGAUAUUUGGAUGGAAACAUUAAAGUAAUGACUUUAGUGUGUUCCAUUAUGAAUGCAAAAUAUAUAUUGCCAUAUAGAAGUUUUUACAACAAUGUUGUUUGGAUGGGAAAGUUCAUUUAUGAACUCUCUAUUCGGUUCCAACCAGAAAGUGUAUCUGACACUAACACUAAUGGGGCGAUAGCUCAAGCCAGGGAAUCAAGGUCUCAUCAAGAUCCGAACUCAAAUGAGAGACUGAACCACAUGAUUGAGAAUCAUGUAUAAUGGUGACGUCGUUAUUCUCAAGGUUGCUUCUAUGGAUAACACAUAUAGAUAUCCAUUGUCUAGGCCUACUAUUCAGCCAUUUAUGAAAUGACUACAGAAGAGGUAUCAUCACUGAUGAUGACCAAGCUGAUUGGCUCUAGUGCAAGUGGGAGAUUGUUGGAAAUGUGCCCUAAAGCCAAUCAUAUGAUGAUACUUUACGGACAUUUCACAUGUUAAACUAAUCUAGUUUAAUAUAAAGGGCAAAGAUUAUUGUUUGAGCCGUCUCAUAUAAAUGUUAUAUGCUUAAACGAUAAAGUCCAAGGAAUAUGUGAUUGGGAGAAUGCAAUCUAAUGAAGUUAGAUUCAUGAGACCAUUCUUUCGUAGACACAUCCUAAACGUUCCUGAUCAUAGGAUUGCCAAUUGGGCAUUGACAGUCCGUCAAGAUCGGUACGUGCUAUGUCUUCUCUCAGGGAGAGUGACUAGUCUCGAGUCAUUGGUGUGUGUGACAUCAAGACAAGUACGUAGGUGCUCAAUAGAGAAUGAGUUCACUGAACGCGAUCAACGAAGAGUUCUCAUAUUCAUGUCACAUGAGAACUCAUGUUUGGGAUAAUGCAAAUUAGUCCUUUGACCUGAGGCAUCAUAGUUGUCUUGUGGUUAAGUCCUUGAUCUUUGAUUAUGUCAAAGUCACCCCAUCGGGGUGUCCACGACAUCGUUGGGGUCAAGCCACUUAGCUAUGGAGACAAGUGAAUGCGCAACAAGGGAUCUCUAACCUUCAAACCGUUUGAGGGAGAAUACUCUAUGAUAUGAUUUGAAUCUCUGGCCAGAGUAGAAUGAAUGAGAUUUAGGAAUGCGUUCCGAAAUCACAUUCAAGGUAAUCAUAUAAGCACAAGACAUCACAUUGGAUAGUAGACAUGAGUAAAUAAACUAUCAAACCAAACAAUGUGGUCAAGAGUAUUAGUAUUAGAGAAAGACCGUAUUGCAUUUGUAAUCUCAAACUGAAUAGGUUCUCCACCUCUCUUCUGAUUAGCUUGGGUAACCAUGAUAUGCUGCUAGGUGUCACUCAUGGUUUGUGGAAGCCCUAAACGUGUGUAAUCACUAAAGGGAGAAUUGAAAAUAGUUUCAAUUCACAAUCGAUGUAAAAUGGUUUUAAUCGCCCACUGCCUCGCUAAAAGGAACCUAAUGAUCGCUACACCGUAAAAGGUGAAGAUUGAAGAAACAAUGGAGAUGAGUAAGAAUAAUUAAAUGGUUUAAUUAUUUAUGGCAAGGAUUAAUUAAUAUGUUAAUUAAUCAAACGAAUAAGUUCGUUAAAGACCUCGGGAUAGUUUUGGACCUUAAGGCCCAAUGGGCUUCGAACGUCAAGCCCAUUAACUUAAGUUGUAUGACAAUUUAAUGAAUAAAGAUUCACAAAGGCCCAAAAGCCCAAAAAUCCCAAUAUGGCCGGCCAUGUGUGAUGAAAAUUGGUUUUGGUUAUUUAGGUCACUUAAAGAAGUGACUAUAUAAAUGACUUUAUAGCCUAAAAUUCAUUAAGGCUUCUUUUUGGAGAAAAUUGGUGAGAACAUGUCUCUCCUUUUCUCUCUAGGAGGAAGGUCACCUUGGAGGGUACAUCUAGCAAUCCUACUACUCCAAGGUCACUCAUUUUCUUCUACAAUCUAACCUUGGUGAAGAGACUUAGAGGUUCUCAAUUUUGGGAACUU